GGGUGUAUGGUCUAGUGGUAUGAUUUUCGCUUUGCAUCAAAUGGUCAAUGUGAACGGUCCCCGGUUCGAUCCCGGGUGCAUCCA
Staphylotrichum tortipilum is the source of this 84-nucleotide non-coding RNA. NCBI's taxonomy places the organism in Eukaryota, Fungi, Ascomycota, Sordariomycetes, Sordariales, Chaetomiaceae. The record is from the annotation of a GenBank genome assembly.